RNAcentral lists this ribosomal RNA (407 nucleotides) under uncultured bacterium. Its description in RNAcentral is "partial 16S ribosomal RNA". It matches the Rfam family "Bacterial small subunit ribosomal RNA", at positions 28 to 526 of the family's 1533-position model. The record is from RNAcentral.
GAUGAACGCUAGCGAUAGGCUUAACACAUGCAAGUCGAGGGACCGGCGCACGGGUGCGUAACGCGUAUGCAACUUGCCUCACAGAGGGGGAUAACCCGUCGAAAGACGGACUAAUACCGCGUACUGUGAGCUAGGCAUGCGUCCCCUUAGCUGUUUGGUGAGGUAACGGCUCACCAAGGCAACGAUGGUGAGGGGAACGGAGAGGUUGAACCCCCACACCUGUACUGAGAACCGGACCAGACUCCGACGGGAGGCAGCAGUUAGUAAUAGUGGUCAAUGGGCGAGAGCCUGAACCAGCCAAGUCGCGUGAAGGAUGACUGUCUAUGGAUGUUAAACUUCUUUUGUAGGGGAAUAUGUACCCUACGAAUAAGCAUCGGCUAACUCCGUGCCAGCAGCCGCGGUAAUUC